CCGUAACUAUAACGGUCCUAAGGUAGCGAAAUUCCUUGUCGGGUAAGUUCCGACCCGCACGAAAGGCGUAAUGAUUUGGGCACUGUCUCGACAAUGCACCCGGUGAAAUUGAAAUACCAGUGAAGAUGCUGGUUACCUGCGCCAGGACGGAAAGACCCCAUGGAGCUUUACUCUAGCUUGAUACUGGGGUUCGGUAUUGCAUGUACAGGAUAGGUGGGAGACUGAGAAGAUGUGUCGCCAGAUGCAUCAGAGUCGAUGUUGGGAUACCACCCCUGCAGUACUGGGCUUCUAACCUGCAGCCGUGACCCGGCUGGGGGACAAUGUCUGGUGGGGAGUUUGACUGGGGCGGUCGCCUCCGAAAGGGUAUCGGAGGCGCUCAAAGGUUCCCUCAGAAUGGUUGGAAACCAUUCGAAGAGUGCAAAGGCAGAAGGGAGCUUGACUGCGACACCGACGGGUGGAGCAGGUACGAAAGUAGGACUUAGUGAUCCGGUGGUAUAAAGUGGGAUUGCCAUCGCUCAACGGAUAAAAGCUACCCUGGGGAUAACAGGCUGAUCUCCCCCAAGAGUCCACAUCGACGGGGAGGUUUGGCACCUCGAUGUCGGCUCAUCGCAUCCUGGGGCUGUAUUCGGUCCCAAGGGUUUGGCUGUUCGCCAAUUAAAGCGGUACGCGAGCUGGGUUCAGAACGUCGUGAGACAGUUCGGUCCCUAUCCGGCGUGGGCGUAGGAUAUCUGAGAGGAGCUGUCCUUAGUACGAGAGGACCGGGAUGGACUGACCUCUGGUGCACCGGUUGCAUUGCCAAAUGCAUAGCCGGGUAGCCAAGUCGGGACGGGAUAAACGCUGAAGGCAUCUAAGCGUGAAGCCCCCCUCAAGAUGAGAUAUCCCAUUCGAAAGAAGUAAGACCCCUUGAAGACGACGAGGUAGAUAGGGCAGAGGUGGAAGUGCAGUAAUGCAUGGAGCUGACUGUUACUAAUAGGUCGAGGGCUUAAUCUG
RNAcentral lists this ribosomal RNA (990 nucleotides) under human gut metagenome. Its description in RNAcentral is "bacterial LSU rRNA". It matches the Rfam family "Bacterial large subunit ribosomal RNA", at positions 1934 to 2925 of the family's 2925-position model. The record is from RNAcentral.